Molecule: ribosomal RNA, 211 nt
Filed under: Helotiales sp.
Lineage: Eukaryota; Fungi; Ascomycota; Leotiomycetes; Helotiales
Description: partial large subunit ribosomal RNA
Source: RNAcentral
AAGCGUUGGCAACCAGACUUGCAGCUGCUACUCAUCAGGGGUUCUCCCCUGUGCACUUGGUAGCUUCAGGCCAGCAUCGGUUUGGAGAGCGGGAUAAAGGCCUUGGGAAUGUAGCUCUCUUCGGGGAGUGUUAUAGCCCUCGGUGCAAUGCCGCUCCUCCAGACCGAGGACCGCGCUUCGGCUAGGAUGCUGGCGUAAUGGUUGUCAACGG